UGGGGAAUAUUGCACAAUGGGCGCAAGCCUGAUGCAGCCAUGCCGCGUGUAUGAAGAAGGCCUUCGGGUUGUAAAGUACUUUCAGCGGGGAGGAAGGGAGUAAAGUUAAUACCUUUGCUCAUUGACGUUACCCGCAGAAGAAGCACCGGCUAACUCCGUGCCAGCAGCCGCGGUAAUACGGAGGGUGCAAGCGUUAAUCGGAAUUACUGGGCGUAAAGCGCACGCAGGCGGUUUGUUAAGUCAGAUGUGAAAUCCCCGGGCUCAACCUGGGAACUGCAUCUGAUACUGGCAAGCUUGAGUCUCGUAGAGGGGGGUAGAAUUCCAGGUGUAGCGGUGAAAUGCGUAGAGAUCUGGAGGAAUACCGGUGGCGAAGGCGGCCCCCUGGACAAAGACUGACGCUCAGGUGUGAAAGCGUGGGGAGCAAACAGG
This 429-nucleotide ribosomal RNA is filed under the name Chloroflexota bacterium. RNAcentral's name for it is "Chloroflexi bacterium partial 16S ribosomal RNA". It matches the Rfam family "Bacterial small subunit ribosomal RNA", at positions 355 to 776 of the family's 1533-position model. The record is from RNAcentral. Lineage: Bacteria; Bacillati; Chloroflexota.